Molecule: ribosomal RNA, 253 nt
Filed under: uncultured bacterium
Lineage: Bacteria
Description: partial 16S ribosomal RNA
Rfam family: Bacterial small subunit ribosomal RNA
Source: RNAcentral
UACGUAGGGGGCUAGCGUUGUCCGGAAUCAUUGGGCGUAAAGCGCGUGUAGGCGGCCCGGUAAGUCCGCUGUGAAAGUCGGGGGCUCAACCCUCGGAAGCCGGUGGAUACUGUCGGGCUCGAGUACGGAAGAGGCGAGUGGAAUUCCUGGUGUAGCGGUGAAAUGCGCAGAUAUCAGGAGGAACACCAAUUGCGAAGGCAGCUCGCUGGGACGUCACUGACGCUGAGACGCGAAAGCGUGGGGAGCAAACAGG